This 85-nucleotide transfer RNA is filed under the name Roseimaritima ulvae. RNAcentral's name for it is "tRNA-Thr". The record is from RNAcentral. Lineage: Bacteria; Pseudomonadati; Planctomycetota; Planctomycetia; Pirellulales; Pirellulaceae.
GUAUCGUGGGCAGCGUUAGAGGUGACGAGCGUGGUGGUGCCACGCUCGUGAACAGGGAACUCCGGUGUGAUUCCGGGACGGUCCG